CCGAAGGUGGGCCAGCAUGGUCAGCGGAGUCGUUUGGAUACGGGCCAUUUUUAGGUCAAAUCGGUGGAUGUUAGCCCAUGGUUCUGGGGGUGGACCCGAUCGAUCGGUUGUCCAGACGGGUUGUGGAUUGACUAAGGGUGGCCAGCGGGGUUGGAAGGGUCGUUUGGGUACGGGCUAUUUUUGGGUCAAAUCGAUGAAUGUUAGCCCACAUUCUGGGGGUGGACACGGGGCCAGG
RNAcentral lists this long non-coding RNA (235 nucleotides) under Capsicum annuum. RNAcentral's name for it is "long non-coding RNA (CANN_LNC012203)". The record is from RNAcentral. Lineage: Eukaryota; Viridiplantae; Streptophyta; Magnoliopsida; Solanales; Solanaceae.